ACUUAAAUGUGGAUGUGCUUGC
RNAcentral lists this microRNA (22 nucleotides) under Gallus gallus (chicken). RNAcentral's name for it is "microRNA Ros-gga". The record is from RNAcentral. Lineage: Eukaryota; Metazoa; Chordata; Aves; Galliformes; Phasianidae.